Molecule: ribosomal RNA, 487 nt
Filed under: uncultured bacterium
Lineage: Bacteria
Description: partial 16S ribosomal RNA
Rfam family: Bacterial small subunit ribosomal RNA
Source: RNAcentral
ACUCAAAUGAAUUGACGGGGGCCCGCACAAGCGGCGGAGCGUGCGGUUUAAUUCGACGCAACGCGCAGAACCUUACCAGGGCUUGACAUGCACCUGCAGAGCGCCGAAAGGCGAUGUCCUUCGAGGGUGGUGCACAGGUGCUGCAUGGCUGUCGUCAGCUCGUGUCGUGAGAUGUUGGGUUAAGUCCCGCAACGAGCGCAACCCUCGCGGCCAGUUACGUGGAUGUCUGGCCGGACUGCCGGUAGCAAGCCGGAGGAAGGCGGGGAUGACGUCAAGUCAGCAUGGCCCUUACGUCCUGGGCUACACGCACGCUACAAUGGAACGGACAAUGGGUAGCCAAACCGCAAGGUGGAGCGAAUCCUCACCAAACCGUUCCUCAGUUCAGAUUGUGGGCUGCAACUCGCCCGCAUGAAGGUGGAGUCGCUAGUAACCGCAGGUCAGCAUUACUGCGGUGAAUACGUUCCCGGGCCUUGUACACACCGCCCGU